CAACAAUAUUCUGAAUCACACAGAAUUAGAAGAAGGCAAAGCCAAUCUUAUUCAAUAAUCAAAACUGUGUGGGUUACGAAGCCCUACAAUGCUAAUAUUGUAACUGAGAUAAGAAAGAAGUAAGAAACUCUAUCCAAAGUAGGAAUAUGUGUCCCACAUGACUAAAACUCUAUCCAAACUAGGAGGAUGAGUUCUAUUCAGACAAGACUCUAUCCAACCUUUACAAGUUAACAUAUAAACAAUGAAAUAAAGAAA
This is a long non-coding RNA of Telopea speciosissima, 255 nucleotides long. RefSeq lists it as uncharacterized. The transcript has 2 exons. Lineage: Eukaryota; Viridiplantae; Streptophyta; Magnoliopsida; Proteales; Proteaceae. The record is from RefSeq and is a predicted model, not a curated record.